Molecule: ribosomal RNA, 237 nt
Filed under: Lacticaseibacillus rhamnosus
Lineage: Bacteria; Bacillati; Bacillota; Bacilli; Lactobacillales; Lactobacillaceae
Description: Lactobacillus rhamnosus partial 16S ribosomal RNA
Rfam family: Bacterial small subunit ribosomal RNA
Source: RNAcentral
UUUAUAUGAGAGUUUGAUCCUGGCUCAGGAUGAACGCUGGCGGCGUGCCUAAUACAUGCAAGUCGAACGAGUUCUGAUUAUUGAAAGGUGCUUGCAUCUUGAUUUAAUUUUGAACGAGUGGCGGACGGGUGAGUAACACGUGGGUAACCUGCCCUUAAGUGGGGGAUAACAUUUGGAAACAGAUGCUAAUACCGCAUAAAUCCAAGAACCGCAUGGUUCUUGGCUUAAAGAUGGCGU